Molecule: long non-coding RNA, 796 nt
Organism: Episyrphus balteatus (marmalade hoverfly)
Lineage: Eukaryota; Metazoa; Arthropoda; Insecta; Diptera; Syrphidae
Exons: 5
Source: RefSeq, a predicted model, not a curated record
AGGAGCUAUUCAGCGGAGAGCUGAAGCAAAAAUAAAAAGAGAUUUGUUCGAUUUCCCAUUUGCCGCCGUCCGCCCGUCGCCUGCUGCCAUCACGUCGUUUCAUGCAUCAAAAAUUUAAGUGCUCUUCUUACACCACGUUGCCACCACCACGCUGCCGCCACAUAUUGUCUGCCUCCGGUGUCGUUGUCGUCAUUUGCCACACCACGUUCCUUCCAGCCACCACGUUGUUCCCGCCAGCCACCACCAUCAUCACGCUAAAAUAAUUCCUGUGCCAUCACGUUGCCACCACCACGCUGCCGCCACAUCCGCCACAUUAUUGUCUUCCUCCGCUGUCGUCGUCAUUUGCCACACCACGUUCUAUCCAGCCACCACGUUGCUCCCGCCAGCCGCCACCAAUCUUGCUAAAAUAAUUCCUGACUGUAAAGAUGCGGCAUUACUUUGGGCUCUGCAUGGAUACUUUGUACCUUUCCAAAAAGUUAUAAAAAAAGACACAGAUGGUAGGAAACACGUUAUACGACAUACCAUCAAGGACUCGCAGUAUUCAUUCGUUUGGAUAGGCAACACAAUUCAAGCUUAAGAAGACCAUAUUGCCUUCCUCAACAAAAUGGGUGAGAAUACCCACCCACCAAAUAAAAAAUGUAUGUAUGUACAAAUGCUCUAGUUUUGGUAAAUGAGAUCAUAAAAUUUCAAUUCUUAUAUUAUUUUGAUUCAAAUUUCCCUUAAUUUCACUUUUUAUAAUUUGUUUCACUUUCUUAUCUGAAGAUAAAUCUACAAAAUAAUGUAAUAAAAUUUUUCC